CUACUCACUGGUGUUUGUUUGGACAGUGUAAACAUCAGCUUUGUUCUGCCAGUUUCUGACUUUGCUGGUGGAUUGAAGUAAAGUUGCACAAUUGUGGCCAAAAUGAUAAUCAGGAUUAUUUUGAUUAGUUUUGAGUUCAUGCUUAUUCAUGUUUUUUUAGGGACAAAAUGUUUUUAUUGCACUUUCACAUUAAUUAAACUAUGCACCUCUGACACUUUCAUGUUCUGCUGCACUCCUGCUUAUGUGAAUUGGAAAGAGGUUUUGUCAUCACUCAUAUUCAGUUCAUCGGCUAAGAGGCAAAAAUGUAAAUGAAACGCCUCGCUUGGUGAGUAUUUGCUUAUUGAUGGACACUACAACUUACCAAAGGUCCCUGAACACAGGCUACAGUGGAAGUUAGCUAGGCAACUGUGCACAGAGAAGCCUCUAAUCUCCACUAAGUUACUGUCACUCAGGUGUGACCAAAAAUUACUUUAAAAAGAGAGAAAUAAAGGGUGUUACAGUCAGAUUUACCCGCAUUGAAACCAAGGGAUUUUAUUUCCAUGGGCUGCUUUCUAUGAGCCGAGCAUAUCUUAAAUGUAAGUGUUGAUGUUCAGUCCUACACUGAAGUGUGAAGGUGCACUUGUUUGCAUCACCUGUCUUUAAUUAUAUAAGGAACAGUCAGACUUAAUAUCAGAAAUAAAACAUUUUUAGAAGAUGGUGAGAUUGAUUGUAUUGCUGUGUUUACCAAAGCAAAAGACAGACUCGAGAAGUGGAAAAUUUUAGAACCUCAACACACCGUUGUGCAGUCUUAGUCAUUUUGAGAUAACAUUUGGAGGAUUCAGCCACUGGAUGAUCUAUCUCUUAACAAAAUGAAGCAGCAUCUGGUCCACCAGAACAAUUAGGGAAAAUGCCUCAAGUAUCAUCAGGUCUCAGGUCGCGUCAUGUCACACCUCCAACCAUAGGAACCCCUGUCAGGGCUGGCGAUAGACCCUCCAAAUCCACCGUCUCUCUCUGCCUUGAGUCUACCUCACUGGGACAACAGGAAACCAAAAGUAGUCAACGGAACUGUCACAGUACCAAGCCGCCUUAUUCCUCCACCUCUGCGAGCCUCGGGUCUGGUAGGCGGCGCAGCCCCGCUGAGCGACCCAGCAAGACUCAGCUGAAGGAGGUGGAGCUUAUGCAAGAUGCAAGCGCAGCACACAGAGCUGCCAAGCUGUUAUACAGCGGUGAGGACAAAUCCUGCAGAUUCAUCAGGGAUCCCCCCCUCCACGAGAAGAGCCAGCCUCACGUCCCCUCCUCUCAAGGACCAGCCAGCAGUACUUUCUCACACGGGAAGAAGCCAUGUCCUCCUCUUCUCCUGAAGCCUGCAGAGAGAAAGUUAUCCGUUUUGGAAAAGUGCUCCCCUCUGGCUGCACCAGCAAACCGCUCUCCUCGCAGCAGAGCGAAGCCCCCAGCCGUUCAGCAGAAAGUCGGGGGCUUUGACCACAGGGGUCCGGCCCAGAAGCGCAAACACAGCAGUGAGUCCCUGCCGCUCAGCUCCUCACUGUCCAGAACCACCAAGUAUAAAUGUUUGCCCUCCCCUUCCCGUUCAAGCCUUGUUUCCUGGAAGGGAGAGAAUAUCGAGGAUGUGCUUACUUGGGGCUUGGAGAAAAGAUCAGACCCGUAAAAGAACCUUUUGUGAAAUAGGCUGCACUCCGUCAGUUUUAUUAUGAUGUGGAUUCAUUCCCUUAAAAAAAGACAUGAGUGGAAUCAACAUCUUGAUUUGAACUGAACUGUGAUUUGUUUUUUAGCAACACCAUUUGUAAGUGACGGUUGUUUACGCUCAUCUUCGCAGCCAACAAAGAGGCCAGCCUUAAAAAGACCACUUGGAGAAAAGGCCCACUGAAGGCUGCAGCUACUGACAGGAUCGUGUGAGUGUUUGAAUGUGUGUGUUUGUAAGUGUGCACGUCUCUUUGUUUAUUUAUCUACACUUUUUAUGCACAGCUGUCAGGAACAAGUAUUUGUAUGCACAUUACUGUAUUUGUGUAUUAUUGCAAAGUUUUCUAUUUUUCUACAGGACGAAAUGAGUUGAAUAUCUG
Long non-coding RNA from Amphiprion ocellaris (clown anemonefish), 2057 nucleotides. The record is from Ensembl. NCBI's taxonomy places the organism in Eukaryota, Metazoa, Chordata, Actinopteri, Pomacentridae.